RNAcentral lists this ribosomal RNA (999 nucleotides) under Triticum aestivum (bread wheat). RNAcentral's name for it is "partial small subunit ribosomal RNA". The record is from RNAcentral. Lineage: Eukaryota; Viridiplantae; Streptophyta; Magnoliopsida; Poales; Poaceae.
AGGAGCACUGGAGAUGACGAUGUGGUGAUCAAGAUUCUGUACUGCGGGAUCUGCCACUCUGACCUACACAGCAUCAAGAACGAAUGGAAGAACGCCAGGUACCCCAUGGUCCCUGGGCAUGAGAUCGCCGGCGAGGUCACUAAAGUCGGCAAGAAUGUGACCAAGUUCAAGACCGGCGACCGUGUGGGCGUCGGGUGCAUGGUGAACUCGUGCCAGUCCUGCGAGAGCUGCAACAAGGGCUUCGAGAACCACUGCCCGGGCAUAAUCCCCACCUAUAACUUGGUCGACCUUGAUGGCACCAUCACCUACGGCGGCUACUCCAGCAUUGUAGUGGUGCAUGAGCGGUUCGUUGUCCGGUUCCCCAACACCAUUCCGGACAAGGGCGCGCCGCUGCUGUGUGCCGGCAUCACCAUGUACAGCCCCAUGAAGUACCAUGGGCUGAACGUUCCAGGGAUGCACCUUGGCGUGCUGGGACUGGGCGGGCUGGGCCACGUCGCGGUCAAGUUCGGCAAGGCCUUUGGGAUGAAGGUGACGGUGAUCAGCUCGUCGCCGGGGAAGAAGCAGGAGGCCCUCGAGCGGCUAGGCGCUGACGCCUUCAUUGUCAGCAAGAGUGCCGACGAGAUGAAGGCUGCGAUGAGUAGCAAGGAUGGCAUCAUAAACACCGUGUCUGCAAACAUCCCCAUGGCCCCUCUCUUGAGGCUGCUCAAACCCAACGGCAAGAUGAUCCUGGUUGGUCUCCCAGAGAAGCCUAUGGAGAUCUCUCCCUUUGCUCUGGUUGCCGCGAACAAGACCCUGGCCGGGAGCUGCAUCGGCGGCAUGAGGGACACCCAGGAGAUGCUCGACCUCGCGGCCAAGCACGACGUGACGGCUGACAUCGAGGUGAUCGGUGCCGAGUACGUGAACACGGCCAUGGAGCGCCUUGCCAAGGCCGAUGUCAGGUAUCGAUUCGUCAUCGACAUUGGCAACACCCUCGACAAGGCCGCCGCCGCCGCCGAGUGA